AAGCGUACGCUAAGUGGGAAAGGAUGUGGAGUCGCACAGACAACCAGGAGGUUGGCUUAGAAGCAGCCACCCUUGAAAGAGUGCGUAAUAGCUCACUGGUCUAGUGAUUCCGCGCCGACAAUGUAGCGGGGCUCAAGCGUACCGCCGAAGUCGUGUCAUUSCAAYAUGUACSSCCAACGSSSAYYGKGAUGGGUAGGGGAGCGUCGUGUGCCGGGUGAAGCAGCCGCGGAAGCGAGUUGUGGACGGUUCACGAGUGAGAAUGCAGGCAUGAGUAGCGAUACACACGUGAGAAACGUGUGCGCCGAUUGACUAAGGGUUCCUGGGUCAAGCUGAUCUGCCCAGGGUAAGUCGGGACCUAAGGCGAGGCCGACAGGCGUAGUCGAUGGAUAACCGGUUGAUAUUCCGGUACCCGCUGUGAAGCGUCAAACAUUGAAUCAGGCGAUGCUAAGUCCGUGAAGCCGUUCCGGACCCUUCGGGGAAAGGAAAGUGGUGGAGCCGACGGACCAGACUUGUAGUAGGUGAGUGAUGGGGUGACGCAGGAAGGUAGUCCAGCCCGGGCGGUGGUUGUCCCGGGGUAAGGGUGUAGGGCGCKGKMYAGGUAAAUCCGKACMRCUUGWGCCUGAGACCUGAUGCCGAGCCGAUUGUGGUGAAGUGGAUGAUCCUAUGCUGUCGAGAAAAGCCUCUAGCGAGUUUCAUGGCGGCCCGUACCCUAAACCGACUCAGGUGGUCAGGUAGAGAAUACCGAGGCGUUCGGGUGAACUAUGGUUAAGGAACUCGGCAAAAUGCCCCCGUAACUUCGGGAGAAGGGGGGCCAUCACUGGUGAGAGGACUUGCUCCUCGAGCUGGGGGUGGCCGCAGAGACCAGCGAGAAGCGACUGUUUACUAAAAACACAGGUCCGUGCGAAGCCGUAAGGCGAUGUAUACGGACUGACGCCUGCCCGGUGCUGGAAACGUUAAGGGGGACCGGUUUAGUGCACUUUUCCGGG
RNAcentral lists this ribosomal RNA (986 nucleotides) under Streptomyces sp. RNAcentral's name for it is "partial 23S ribosomal RNA". Lineage: Bacteria; Bacillati; Actinomycetota; Actinomycetes; Kitasatosporales; Streptomycetaceae. The record is from RNAcentral.